UACAGAGGGGGCUAGCGUUGUUCGGAUUUACUGGGCGUAAAGCGCACGUAGGCGGGUUGUUAAGUCAGGGGUGAAAUCCUGGAGCUCAACUCCAGAACUGCCUUUGAUACUGGCAACCUAGAGGCUGGAAGAGGUUAGUGGAAUUCCCAGUGUAGAGGUGAAAUUCGUAGAUAUUGGGAAGAACACCAGUGGCGAAGGCGGCUAACUGGUCCAGAUCUGACGCUGAGGUGCGAAAGCGUGGGGAGCAAACAGG
This 253-nucleotide ribosomal RNA is filed under the name uncultured bacterium. RNAcentral describes it as "partial 16S ribosomal RNA". It matches the Rfam family "Bacterial small subunit ribosomal RNA", at positions 524 to 776 of the family's 1533-position model. The record is from RNAcentral.